UAUUACAGCCAUAUCACCAUGCAGCCUAAGACCGGUUACUUACUGAAGCUAAACAGUGCUGAGCAUGGUCGGUACCUGGAUGGGAGACCACAUGGAAAAAACUAGAUUGCUGUUGGAA
Molecule: ribosomal RNA, 118 nt
Organism: Danio rerio (zebrafish)
Lineage: Eukaryota; Metazoa; Chordata; Actinopteri; Cypriniformes; Danionidae
Source: Ensembl